This 880-nucleotide ribosomal RNA is filed under the name uncultured Oxalobacteraceae bacterium. RNAcentral describes it as "bacterial SSU rRNA". It matches the Rfam family "Bacterial small subunit ribosomal RNA", at positions 45 to 923 of the family's 1533-position model. Lineage: Bacteria; Pseudomonadati; Pseudomonadota; Betaproteobacteria; Burkholderiales; Oxalobacteraceae. The record is from RNAcentral.
GGCCUAACACAUGCAAGUCGAACGGCAGCGCGGGGCAACCUGGCGGCGAGUGGCGAACGGGUGAGUAAUAUAUCGGAACGUACCCUGGAGUGGGGGAUAACGUAGCGAAAGUUACGCUAAUACCGCAUACGAUCUAAGGAUGAAAGCAGGGGACCGCAAGGCCUUGUGCUCCUGGAGCGGCCGAUAUCUGAUUAGCUAGUUGGUGGGGUAAAGGCCUACCAAGGCAUCGAUCAGUAGCUGGUCUGAGAGGACGACCAGCCACACUGGAACUGAGACACGGUCCAGACUCCUACGGGAGGCAGCAGUGGGGAAUUUUGGACAAUGGGCGAAAGCCUGAUCCAGCAAUGCCGCGUGAGUGAAGAAGGCCUUCGGGUUGUAAAGCUCUUUUGUCAGGGAAGAAACGGUGAGGGCUAAUAUCCCUUGCUAAUGACGGUACCUGAAGAAUAAGCACCGGCUAACUACGUGCCAGCAGCCGCGGUAAUACGUAGGGUGCAAGCGUUAAUCGGAAUUACUGGGCGUAAGGCGUGCGCAGGCGGUUUUGUAAGUCUGUCGUGAAAUCCCCGGGCUCAACCUGGGAAUUGCGAUGGAGACUGCAAGGCUAGAAUCUGGCAGAGGGGGGUAGAAUUCCACGUGUAGCAGUGAAAUGCGUAGAGAUGUGGAGGAACACCGAUGGCGAAGGCAGCCCCCUGGGUCAAGAUUGACGCUCAUGCACGAAAGCGUGGGGAGCAAACAGGAUUAGAUACCCUGGUAGUCCACGCCCUAAACGAUGUCUACUAGUUGUCGGGUUUUAAUUAACUUGGUAACGCAGCUAACGCGUGAAGUAGACCGCCUGGGGAGUACGGCCGUCAGAUUAAAACUCAAAGGAAUUGACGGGGACCCG